RNAcentral lists this transfer RNA (57 nucleotides) under Bombus schrencki. RNAcentral describes it as "tRNA-Cys". The record is from RNAcentral. Lineage: Eukaryota; Metazoa; Arthropoda; Insecta; Hymenoptera; Apidae.
UUAAUAUAGUUUAAUUAAAAUUUUAAAUUGCAAAUUUAAAGAUUAAAUAAAAUUUAU